CCUACGGGUGGCAGCAGUGGGGAAUAUUUGGCAAUGGGCGCAAGCCUGACGCAGCAACGCCGCGUGAAGGAAGAAGGCUUUCGGGUUGUACACUUCUUUUAUUGAGGACGAAACAAAUGACGGUACUCAAUUAAUAAGCCACUGCUAACUACGUGCCAGCAGCCGCUGUAAUACGUAGGUGGCAAGCGUUAUCCGGAUUUACUGGGUGUAAUGGCCGUGUUGGCGGGAGUUCAAGUCAGAUGUGAAACCCAUGGGCUCAACCCAUGCACUGCAUUGGAAACUGUAGUUCUUGAGUGAUGGAGAGGCAGGCGGAAUUCCGUGUGUAGCGGUGAAAUGCGUAGAUAUACGGAGGAACACCAGUGGCGAAGGCGGCCUGCUGGACAUUAACUGACGCUGAGGCGCGAAAGCGUGGGGAGCAAACAGGAUUAGAUACCCUUGUAGUC
Molecule: ribosomal RNA, 443 nt
Filed under: uncultured bacterium
Lineage: Bacteria
Description: partial 16S ribosomal RNA
Rfam family: Bacterial small subunit ribosomal RNA
Source: RNAcentral